GUUUAAAUCCGGAUGUUCCCUCUUCCCAGGAAGUUUGUGUGCGCGCGUGAUCGAAUGGAGGGUGUUUGAGCUAUCGUCUGGAGCAUGAUCGUUCGUCUUUGUUUGUUCGUGUGAGUGUGUGCGUGUGUGUGUGUUUUGUUUUGUUAUUUGUAAAAAAAAAACCUACACAGUGAUCUUAUUUGAUCUGGUCGGGGUCUGGCUCUGCCCUGACUCAGAGAUGAUAGAAACCGGCAUGCUAGCCUCCGUGGCGAUGUGCAAGAGGCAACACAAAUACUCCAGGGCCUCCACAAGAAGUUGUGGUCAGAGGUGAUGAAUUGAUCAGAUAUACUAGUUCACAGUGGAUUUGGGUUCGUCUCAAUUUUCACGAAGAACAAUGAGUAUAGAGGCGAUUCUGAUCUAA
Non-coding RNA from Lampris incognitus (smalleye Pacific opah), 400 nucleotides. RefSeq annotates it as small Cajal body-specific RNA 2. NCBI's taxonomy places the organism in Eukaryota, Metazoa, Chordata, Actinopteri, Lampriformes, Lampridae. The transcript has a single exon. The record is from RefSeq and is a predicted model, not a curated record.